RNAcentral lists this long non-coding RNA (486 nucleotides) under Phasianus colchicus (ring-necked pheasant). RNAcentral describes it as "lncRNA (ENSPCLG00000016994.1)". The record is from RNAcentral. Lineage: Eukaryota; Metazoa; Chordata; Aves; Galliformes; Phasianidae.
GUUCUAGAUCCAUUUGUUGCCAUUCUGGAUCCCGUUGGUGCUGUUCUAGGUCUGCUUGAUGCGGUUCUUGAUCCAUUUGAUGCUGUUCUGGAUCCUGUUGGUGCCGUUCUAGGUCUGCUUGAUGCGGUUCUUGAUCCCGUUGAUGCUGUUCUACGCCCACUUGAUGCCGUUCUAGAUCUGCCUGACGUGCUCCUGGAUCCUGCUGACGCCAUUCUAGAUCCAGUUGACGCGGCUCUUGAUGCUGUAGGCGCCGUUCCAGAUCUGCUCCACAUGGUUCUCCAUCCUGCUGCCAUUGCUGGCCCCGUUCUCGAUCCCGUUGAUGCUCUUCUCCAUCUGCUUGAUGUUCUCGACCCCCCUGACGCCGUUCUAGAUCCGACUGACGCUGUUCUCCAUCCCACUGGCACCACCCCCAAUGUUCUCCACCCUGCUGAUGUUCCCGAUCCCUUUGGGCCCCAUCCUGACCCCAUUCUCGAUCCCAUUGACACC